UGGUUCUGGCAUNGAUGAAGAACGCAGCGAAAUGCGAUAAGUAAUGUGAAUUGCAGAAUUCAGUGAAUCAUCGAAUCUUUGAACGCACAUUGCGCCCGCCAGUACUCUGGCGGGCAUGCCUGUUCGAGCGUCAUUUCAACCCUCAAACCCCCGGGUUUGGUGUUGGAGAUCGGCAAUCGGGCCCCUCGGGGCACGCGCCGUCUCCCAAAUCUAUUGGCGGUCACGCUGUAGCUUCCUAUGCGUAGUAGCACACCUCGCACUGGAAAGCAGCGCGGCCACGCCGUAAAACCCCAACUUCUGAAGUUUGACCUCGAAUCAGGUAGGAUUACCCGCUGA
This 336-nucleotide unclassified non-coding RNA is filed under the name uncultured fungus. Its description in RNAcentral is "partial contains 5.8S ribosomal RNA and internal transcribed spacer 2". The stretch from base 1 to 133 matches the Rfam family "5.8S ribosomal RNA", at positions 22 to 154 of the family's 154-position model. The record is from RNAcentral. Lineage: Eukaryota; Fungi.